GAUGGACAACACGCCAGUGAAGCAGGCCCAGUUUACCUUGACUGGUGGGGACGACCAGAUGGUAAAGUAUAUGAUAGAUUUCAGAGUUUUGUUUAGUUCUAUCUAUACACAGGUGCCGAGCUGCCCUGCCCAAGCCAAAGGGAGGACAGCUGCAUAUGAUCUCCCCUGGCGACUGGAUCGUGGUGAAGAAUCUGAGACGAAUGCACUGGCACCAACCUCGGUGGAGGGGACCAUACCAAGUGCUGCUGACCCCUCCGACUAUGGUCAGGAUCGCUGAAAGGGACAACUGGAUCCAAGGAUCCCACUGCCUGAACGUGGGCAACCCUGAGGACGAUCAGAUAUGAGUUCAACAGACUUGGACAUCACAAUGGUCCACAGUUCAACAGACUUGGACAUCACAAUGGACCACAGUUCAACAGGCCUG
Molecule: long non-coding RNA, 424 nt
Filed under: Salmo salar (Atlantic salmon)
Lineage: Eukaryota; Metazoa; Chordata; Actinopteri; Salmoniformes; Salmonidae
Description: lncRNA (ENSSSAG00000114585.1)
Source: RNAcentral